RNA transcript from Oryzias melastigma (Indian medaka), 1654 nucleotides. It is a transcript of the gene named mitochondrial calcium uniporter regulator 1, with no coding region annotated. The transcript has 9 exons. The record is from RefSeq and is a predicted model, not a curated record. Lineage: Eukaryota; Metazoa; Chordata; Actinopteri; Beloniformes; Adrianichthyidae.
UUUUGAAAGGCAUACCCGGAAGUUUGUGGAUUUCUUAACUUUAUUUACAUCUGGGUGAGGUGAAAAACUACUAACAAUGCGUUUCUGAAAGUACUCGACUUGACAAUUCUAGUUUAAUUCCUGGAAGACGGAAGUUUUCACGAUGGUGUCAAAAGCGUGUCAGACGCGAAUUAAAUGUUAUGUUGUUAGCUAUCCUGAAAAGUGGCGGGACUCUACCGUAGUUCAGGAUAAAGUUGGUUGUUUUUCCUCCGCGGGGUCGUUGCUAUCAAUACACAGCUGGAGAAUGACAGUUGUCGAGCAAUUAUCAGACUUUCAACGAGCCGUCUUCGCAUCUUCAAGCAACUUUGUUAAGUUCCCUUUGAGAGGAAGACGCGCGAGGAACAGAAAUGAGUGGUUUCCGUCACGUCUCUCAGUACGAGAGCUCAGCACCUCCAUCAGAACCCUCCAGUAUGACAUGAAACCGGACGUACCGAAGGCUCAAGGCCGGAAGCUGUUCUUUGAUACCCGCGCUGUUGUGCGGCUCUUUGAAGAGAACGGGUUCUCCACUCAACAAGCUGAAGUGAUGGUGAAUGUCCUCAUGAGGACAACGAACUCCAACAUGGAGGUUGUUUACAGUGACAUGGUAACCAAGGUGCAACAGGAGAUCAUGCUACAGCGAGUGAUGUCUCAGAUUGCUGCAGUGAAGAAGGACAUGAUCAUCCUGGAGAAGAGUGAGUUCUCUGCCCUGCUGGCCGAGAAUGAGAAACUAAAGGUCCAGUUAUUACAACUCAAUGAGCAACUUGCUGAUGUGAUGAAAAAGGUGCGCUCUGACAAUAAAUUGGACUUGAAUUUGGAGAAAAGCCGCGUCAAAGAACUAAAAGUAGAGCACGACAAGCGGCUUUUAGAGACCCGAACUGAGAUCAUGGAAAUGCGCACGGUGUCCGAUCAGGCUUUUGUGGUGUCUUUUCACAGACGGCAGAUCAGGACGGCCAUUUGACUCAGACAAACAUCAAAAUUGACACUGAAGUUGCUGGCUUGAAAACCAUGCUGGAAUCUCACAAACUGGAUACAAUAAAGUAUCUUGCAGGUUCUGUAUUCACGGGUCUCACUGUGGUCUUGGGUUUUUACAGAAUUUGGAUGUAAAAGUGUCCUGUUUAAACUUUCUUAUGACUUUUUCUUUUCUGACGAUCAAGUUAAAAGUAUUCAGAGUAAUUCACCUUAUUUUAAAUAAUUUUGACAUUUUUUUAUCAUUAGUAUUGUCUUGUUUAAAAGUCAAUGUUUUUUCCCUUUAAACAGUUAGAGCAGCUGCCUAAAGGCUAGAAUUAAAGAAAACAUUUCCCAGUGUUUAAAUAUAUAUGUAUUGCUAAAUUUAUACAAACAUAUGUGCUGUGUUGCCUAUUAGUAAAAACAAAAUGUAAACAAUUUUUUAUUUUAUAAUGUAAUUUUUUGAGAUGUUGAUUAAAGUAUUUGUUGUUGUUUUGUUUAGUGAAGGAUCCGAAACCACAAAUAAUCUGUUUUUGACCUAAUUUACCACAUGUCAAAGAAGAAGCAAGUAAAUACAAUACUUGAGAUUGUUUUUCUAUAUGCUAUCCGAAUAUAUAUUUUACCUGUAUGUGUUAUUUAAAUGAAUUUAAAAAAAAAUCUUUUUAAUCAAUAAAUACACUCAAAAACACUA